Molecule: non-coding RNA, 30 nt
Filed under: Rattus norvegicus (Norway rat)
Lineage: Eukaryota; Metazoa; Chordata; Mammalia; Rodentia; Muridae
Source: RNAcentral
UGGGCCAGAAGGCUGAAGACUUGUGCUCAC